This 217-nucleotide ribosomal RNA is filed under the name uncultured bacterium. RNAcentral describes it as "partial 16S ribosomal RNA". It matches the Rfam family "Bacterial small subunit ribosomal RNA", at positions 328 to 539 of the family's 1533-position model. The record is from RNAcentral.
ACGCUCGACACCUACGGAGGCAGCAGUGAGGAAUAUUGGUCAAUGGGCGCUAGCCUGAACCAGCCAAGUAGCGUGAAGGAUGAAGGCUCUAUGGGUCGUAAACUUCUUUUAUAUAAGAAUAAAGUGCAGUAUGUAUACUGUUUUGUAUGUAUUAUAUGAAUAAGGAUCGGCUAACUCCGUGCCGGCAGCCGCGGUAAUCUGAGCGGGCUGGCAAGGC